This 148-nucleotide non-coding RNA is filed under the name Gorilla gorilla gorilla (western lowland gorilla). The record is from Rfam by way of RNAcentral. Lineage: Eukaryota; Metazoa; Chordata; Mammalia; Primates; Hominidae.
GCUGGGCGUGGUGGAGCAUGCCUGUAAUCCCAGCUACUUGGGAGGCUGAGGCAAGAGAAUCACCUGAACCCAGGAGGUGGAGGCUGCAGUGAGCCGAGAUAGCGCCAUUGCACUCCUGCCUGGGUGACAGAGUGAGAUUCUGUCUCAA